GAAAUGCGAUAAGUAGUGUGAAUUGCAGAAUUCAGUGAAUCAUCGAAUCUUUGAACGCACAUUGCGCCCCUUGGUAUUCCAUGGGGCAUGCCUGUUCGAGCGUCAUUUGUACCCUCAAGCUCUGCUUGGUGUUGGGUGUUUGUCCCCGUCUCCGCGCGUGGACUCGCCCCAAAGUGAUUGGCAGCCGGCGUACUGGUCCCGGAGCGCAGCACAUGUCGCGCAAACGAGUGCCUUGGUACGGCGGCGUCCAUAAGCCCCUCUCUCACGCUCUUGACCUCGGAUCAGGUAGGGAUACCCGCUGAACCUAAGC
Molecule: unclassified non-coding RNA, 310 nt
Filed under: plant metagenome
Description: partial contains 5.8S ribosomal RNA, internal transcribed spacer 2, and large subunit ribosomal RNA
Rfam family: 5.8S ribosomal RNA (bases 1-105)
Source: RNAcentral